GACGAACGCUGGCGGCGUGCUUAACACAUGCAAGUCGAACGGAAAGGCCCUGCUUGCAGGGUACUCGAGUGGCGAACGGGUGAGUAACACGUGGGUGAUCUGCCCUGCACUUCGGGAUAAGCCUGGGAAACUGGGUCUAAUACCGGAUAGGAGCCAUUUUUAGUGUGAUGGUUGGAAAGUUUUUUCGGUGUAGGAUGAGCUCGCGGCCUAUCAGCUUGUUGGUGGGGUAAUGGCCUACCAAGGCGGCGACGGGUAGCCGGCCUGAGAGGGUGGACGGCCACAUUGGGACUGAGAGACGGCCCAGACUCCUACGGGAGGCAGCAGUGGGGAAUAUUGCACAAUGGGCGCAAGCCUGAUGCAGCGACGCCGCGUGGGGGAUGACGGCCUUCGGGUUGUAAACUCAUUUCGCUAGGGACGAAGCUUUUUGUGACGGUACCUAGAUAAGAAGCACCGGCUAACUACGUG
Molecule: ribosomal RNA, 465 nt
Filed under: uncultured bacterium
Lineage: Bacteria
Description: partial 16S ribosomal RNA
Rfam family: Bacterial small subunit ribosomal RNA
Source: RNAcentral